CUUCACCGACCCGAGCCACAACGGCCGCUCCACAGCCCGCCCCUGCCCAUAGACGGCAAGCAACGCCCCCGCCUC
This 75-nucleotide antisense RNA is filed under the name Streptomyces acidiscabies. It matches the Rfam family "ASpks TB sRNA". The record is from RNAcentral. Lineage: Bacteria; Bacillati; Actinomycetota; Actinomycetes; Kitasatosporales; Streptomycetaceae.